Aphis gossypii (cotton aphid) is the source of this 427-nucleotide long non-coding RNA. RefSeq lists it as uncharacterized. The transcript is spliced from 3 exons. Lineage: Eukaryota; Metazoa; Arthropoda; Insecta; Hemiptera; Aphididae. The record is from RefSeq and is a predicted model, not a curated record.
AUGUUCACAUCGUCUUAUAUUGUACAGAAUAAGAAUAAUUGUUGUUAAAGAUAAGUAAAUGAAUUUGUCAUUAAAAUACUUUUAUGAAAUAAUUUUUGAGAACCAUUAGAACCUAUGAUUUUAUUUUGCAACACAAGCAAAGACUGUCAAUAAGCAAAAUUAUUUUGCAUUAUUAUGACAAAAUCACUUAAAUUAAAAUGUUAUAAUACGAGUAUAACCAAAUGGAAGACAUCGAGAUAUUGUGAUUAUUGAGCGUUGAUUUAAGUUCAUGGAAAAAUUAACAUUGAUGCGCCAUCACUUUGUGAACAAAUUUUAUUGAGAUUGGCAACUAGUCAUGAGGUGGAUUGGAUAUAGACUUCGUAUAUUUUCAAAUGUGAUUCAAAAUUCAUACUACUCUUUGGUACAUUUUUCAAGUAUAUCUAAAAAC